GGACUACGGGGGUAUCUAAUCCCUUUUGCUCCCCUGGCCUUCGUUCCUCACCGUCAGAAUCGUUCUCGUUAGACGCCUUCGCCACAGGUGGUCUUUUAGAGAUUAUAGCAUUUUACCGCUCCCUCCAAAAUACCUCUAACGCCUCCCGAUCUCAAGUAAUGCAGUCUCCUCUGCACGCCGUCAGGUUAAGCCUGACGAUUUCACAAAGAAUUUACAAAACCGGCUACGAACGCUUUAGGCCCAGUAAUGCUGAUCGCCACUUGCAGCGCCGGGGUUACCGCGGCGGCUGGCACCGGUCUUACCCACUGCUUAUUCGACAAGGUUCCUACCCUUGCCAAAAGCUUAUGUUUCCAUAAGCACUAGGGAUUCCCUUAUCACACUUUCGUGCAUUGUAAAGGUUACGCGCCUGCUGCCCCCCAUAGG
RNAcentral lists this ribosomal RNA (423 nucleotides) under uncultured archaeon. Its description in RNAcentral is "partial 16S ribosomal RNA". The record is from RNAcentral.